Molecule: ribosomal RNA, 449 nt
Filed under: uncultured bacterium
Lineage: Bacteria
Description: bacterial SSU rRNA
Rfam family: Bacterial small subunit ribosomal RNA
Source: RNAcentral
GCCCAGACUCCUACGGGAGGCAGCAGUGGGGAAUAUUGCACAAUGGGGGAAACCCUGAUGCAGCGACGUCGCGUGAGCGAUGAAGUAUUUCGGUAUGUAAAGCUCUCUCAGCAGGGAAGAAAAUGACGGUACCUGACUAAGAAGCCCCGGCUAACUACGUGCCAGCAGCCGCGGUAAUACGUAGGGGGCAAGCGUUAUCCGGAUUUACUGGGUGUAAAGGGAGCGUAGACGGCAUGGCAAGCCAGAUGUGAAAUACCGGGGCUCAACCCCGGGACUGCAUUUGGAACUGCGUGGCUGGAGUGCAGGAGGGGCAGGCGGAAUUCCUAGUGUAGCGGUGAAAUGCGUAGAUAUUAGGAGGAACACCGGCGGCGAAGGCGGCCUGCUGGACCGCGACUGACGUUGAGGCUCGAAAGCGUGGGGAGCGAACAGGAUUAGAUACCCGGGUAAAA